AUUGAACGCUGGCGGCAUGCCUUACACAUGCAAGUCGAACGGUAACAGGUCUUCGGAUGCUGACGAGUGGCGAACGGGUGAGUAAUACAUCGGAACGUGCCUAGUAGUGGGGGAUAACUACUCGAAAGAGUGGCUAAUACCGCAUGAGAUCUACGGAUGAAAGCAGGGGAUCGCGAGACCUUGUGCUACUAGAGCGGCCGAUGGCAGAUUAGGUAGUUGGUGGGAUAAAAGCUUACCACGCCGACGAUCUGUAGCUGGUCUGAGAGGACGAUCAGCCACACUGGGACUGAGACGCGGCCCAGACUCCUACGGGAGGCAGCAGUGGGGAAUUUUGGACAAUGGGCGAAAGCCUGAUCCAGCAAUGCCGCGUGCAGGAUGAAGGCCUUCGGGCUGUAAACUACUUUUGUACGGAACGAAAAGCCCUGGGUUAAUACCCUGGGGUCAUGACGGUACCGUAAGAAUAAGCACCGGCUAACUACGUGCCAGCCGCCGCCGUAA
This 498-nucleotide ribosomal RNA is filed under the name uncultured bacterium. RNAcentral's name for it is "partial 16S ribosomal RNA". It matches the Rfam family "Bacterial small subunit ribosomal RNA", at positions 30 to 523 of the family's 1533-position model. The record is from RNAcentral.